Molecule: ribosomal RNA, 435 nt
Filed under: uncultured bacterium
Lineage: Bacteria
Description: partial 16S ribosomal RNA
Rfam family: Bacterial small subunit ribosomal RNA
Source: RNAcentral
GAUGAACGCUGGCGGUAUGCUUAACACAUGCAAGUCGAACGGACUCUUCGGAGUUAGUGGCGGACGGGUGAGUAACGCGUGAGAAUCUGGCUUUGGGUUCGGGACAACCACUGGAAACGGUGGCUAAUACCGGAUGUGCCGAGAGGUAAAAGAGAAAUUGCCUGAAGAUGAGCUCGCGUCUGAUCAGCUAGUUGGUGAGGUAAAGGCUCACCAAGGCAGCGAUCAGUAGCUGGUCUGAGAGGAUGACCAGCCACACUGGGACUGAGACACGGCCCAGACUCCUACGGGAGGCAGCAGUGGGGAAUUUUCCGCAAUGGGCGAAAGCCUGACGGAGCAAUACCGCGUGAGGGAAGAAGGCUCUUGGGUUGUAAACCUCUUUUCUUAGGGAAGAACAAAAUGACGGUACCUAAGGAAUCAGCAUCGGCUAACUCCGUG